This 470-nucleotide ribosomal RNA is filed under the name Neorossia caroli. RNAcentral's name for it is "partial 16S ribosomal RNA". It matches the Rfam family "Bacterial large subunit ribosomal RNA", at positions 1881 to 2599 of the family's 2925-position model. The record is from RNAcentral. Lineage: Eukaryota; Metazoa; Mollusca; Cephalopoda; Sepiida; Sepiolidae.
GGUGAUGAUUAUUUUUAACAGCUGCGGUAUUUUAACUGUUACUAAGGUAGCAUAAUAGUUUGCCUUAUAAAUUGAGGCUAGAAUGAAUGGUUUGACGAAGGUUAAUCUGUCUCUAUUUUAUUUAAUAGAAAUUAACUUUUAGAGUGAGAAGGCUUAAAUUUUUUAAAGGGACGAGAAGACCCUACUGAGCUUAUAAUUUUAUUUUAUUAUUUUUUAGGUGGUAAGGUAUAAAUUUUGAUUGGGGUGAUUAAGGAAUAAAGAGUAUAGGGUAACUUCCUUAAUAAUAGUAUAUGUGUAUUAAGUAACCAAUAAAUUAUAUUGCUUAUAUUAUAGUUACCAUAGGGAUAACAGCGUAAUUUGCUUAAAGAGUUCUUAUUGAAAAGUGAGAUUGCGACCUCGAUGUUGGAUUAAAGUAACCUUAAGGUGUAGAAGCUUUAUUAGGUAAAUCUGUUCGAUUUUUAAAACUUUAC